GAGAUCUGACGGCUUAAAAGUGUGGCACUUCCUACCUCACUCUCUCUCUCUCUCCUGCUGCAUUGUGAAGAAACUGCUUGCUUCCCUCUCACCCUCUGCAGUUUCCUGAGGCCUCCCCAGCCAUGCGGAACGCUGUAGACCAAGACCUGGAAUUAACACAUCAGAAGAUUCUAUGAGGAAACCCAUUUAAAAAUAGGAUGCAUUUUUUUCUUUUCUGCACAGGGAGAAAGUUUAAGCUCUCCUCACUAUGAGUUUUCAAGUAUAAAAGACUUUUUCUUCCACGAUUUUGAGAACAACUGAGGACUCUUGUGACCAGGACAACAGGGAAGCUUGCAGCAAGAUAGCUCCAGGUUGGAUUCAUGCUUCGCACCCCAAGGGCUGCCAGCCAGAGAGGAGGAGAAGCAAUCACUCCUGCAGUUUCUGAACACUACACAGACGCCAGGUAGCUUCUUCAGGAGAACAGCCCUCUGAGGAGGCAGGAAGAGGAGGCUUAUCUUUCAGCAGCCGGAGCUGCUGAGAUCUCUGGGCAGAUUAAGCUCUCUCUAAUGGAUGGGCUCCAGCCUGGCACAUUCAGUGGAGAGGGAUCCACUCAUCCAUCAUCAACAUAAUAUGGUCCUCCCUGCACUUCACAGUGUCCUCUUGCUAUUGAAAAGGCUUUUUUGCCUUCUCAAGUUUCUUUGUCAACAGUCUACAGGAAGAAGCUCAGGCCGCCACCGGCAGAGGUGAAUGCAAGCUCACGUUUUAUUUCUGACUGCUUAAUCAUUGCCUCGAUCACUGCUCAAGCUCUGCCUUUGUUUCCAAAGGUUACCUGUGGGAAAACUUCUUUUUCUAUGCUGAAAUUAAUAGGGAGGCAAAGAUGAGUCCACUGAUAAGCAGAGCCUUAAAACUCACAUAGAGAAACAACUUUGCUGGAGUGUGUGUGAGUGAACCACUAAGGAAUCAGAUAGUGUGAUGGCAGUUAUCAUUGCAGGUUAAGACAUUUCUACAAAUAUUUCGACAUCUCCAUAUACUCACUCCUUUCCCCCCUGAGUGGAGAGACUCAGCUACCAAGAGAGGAAGCUCAAAAAAAACAGAAGCUUCAAACAAACAACCAACCAAAAAAAAAAAAAAACUGUGGGUUCAUCAGAGGUGGUAGGGAAGACAAAAACAUGGGAGGAGCAGCUGGGCACGGUGGCUCAAGCCUGUAAUCCCAGCACUUUGCGAGGCUGAGGUGGGUGGAUCACCUGAGGUCAGGAGUUCGAGACCAGCCUGGCCAACAUGGUGAAACCCCAUCUCUACUAAAAAUACAAAAAAUUAGCCGGGCGUUGUGGUACGCACCUGUAAUCCCAGCUACUCCGGAGGCUGAGGCAGCAGAAUCGCUUGAACCCAGGAGGCAGAGGUUGCAACGAGCCAAGAUCGCACCAUUGCACUCCAGCCUGGGCAACAAGAGCGAAACUCCAUCUAAAAAAAACAAACAAGCAAACAAACAAAAAACACGGGAGGAGCAAUAAAAAGGAAUCCAUGCUUUGAUUUUUUUUUUUAGUGAGAGGAAGGGAAGGCUGCUGCCUCUCACUUCUCCCUGUUUUGUUGUUCUUUUAAGUAGCAUGUGUCACUCUGUAUAUAUCCUGUCCAUGUGUUUUCUUUUAUUAUUAUUUGUCCACUUGCCUAGAAUGAAAACUCCAUGGGAGCAUGGC
Molecule: long non-coding RNA, 1673 nt
Organism: Homo sapiens (human)
Lineage: Eukaryota; Metazoa; Chordata; Mammalia; Primates; Hominidae
Product: long intergenic non-protein coding RNA 958
Source: Ensembl